CGGCGGACGGGUGAGUAAUGCCUAGGAAUCUGCCUGGUAGUGGGGGACAACGUUUCGAAAGGAACGCUAAUACCGCAUACGUCCUACGGGAGAAAGCAGGGGACCUUCGGGCCUUGCGCUAUCAGAUGAGCCUAGGUCGGAUUAGCUAGUUGGUGAGGUAAUGGCUCACCAAGGCGACGAUCCGUAACUGGUCUGAGAGGAUGAUCAGUCACACUGGAACUGAGACACGGUCCAGACUCCUACGGAGGCAGCAGCG
This 256-nucleotide ribosomal RNA is filed under the name uncultured Pseudomonas sp. RNAcentral's name for it is "partial 16S ribosomal RNA". It matches the Rfam family "Bacterial small subunit ribosomal RNA", at positions 96 to 356 of the family's 1533-position model. The record is from RNAcentral. Lineage: Bacteria; Pseudomonadati; Pseudomonadota; Gammaproteobacteria; Pseudomonadales; Pseudomonadaceae.